CUGACAGUAACAUUAGGAAUAAUUAGCAGAUAACGUCACUACCUUUAAUCACCACCCCCAAUCCCGUUCUUAUUCCCAAACCGUAAACCAAAGCAAAAAAUCACCAUCACCACCACGGAUGGCAAAACUCAAAACAAUCCGUUACCUUCUCGCCCACAUUCGUGGUUUCAUUUGAUUCCAAGCAAAAUCAGCUGUUACUUUAUAUCAACUUAGCUCUCCCUACAUAUGAAGAAAAACCAGAUUUGAGUAAAGGAUUCUCCAUAUGUGCAUCUGUUGAAGGUAUCAAGUAAACACAUGCAAUAUAAUUCUUUUUAACCGUUAAUUACUCCAGCGUACUGCUAUAAACCUUCAUUUUGCAAUUUCACAAAUUUGCCAUUGUUAAGUAGCUCUGAUAAAUGAACCAAACUUUGGUUCAAAUCACGAUACAUUUUACCAAAUAAAUAUUUAUAAUAUUUAAAUUUAUAAAACAUUUCAUCCUGAGACAUGCCAGAGAAGAAGCGGAUUGAUGGAAAAUUACAUUCCACGAGCAACUUAUUAAGCUCCGCUGCUCUGUUCACGCUCUUGACAAAGAUAACGUCUUGAUUAAAGUCCAGUGCAUCCAACAAGUCAUUUAGCUACCAAUUCUUCUACAGCUUGCUCAAUUUUAUAUUUGUCGGUAAAUUGAGGGAGAAGGUAAGGGAUUGUUUCUGGGUUUUGCCAUCUGUAGUGCUAGCAGUACUGGUGGUUUGUGGUGGUGACUUUGUUAGGUGGUAGUCAUUUUUGCUUUGAUUUGCACUUUAGGGGUAAGGAUGGGUUGAGUGGAGGGGAAUGAGGAAGAAGAUGAUGAUUGUCCUUUUCAUUUUCUUCUUCUUUUUAUUUUUGAUUUUUGAUUUUUUAAUAAUUUAUCUGGGCCGUUUGUAUUUUUGUAAAACAUUAGUCUCAUGCUCGUGCAUUGUGUUUUUUCUUAAGGUAAUAUUAGUGUAUG
Molecule: long non-coding RNA, 964 nt
Filed under: Olea europaea subsp. europaea
Lineage: Eukaryota; Viridiplantae; Streptophyta; Magnoliopsida; Lamiales; Oleaceae
Source: RNAcentral